This is a small nucleolar RNA of Ornithorhynchus anatinus (platypus), 138 nucleotides long. Lineage: Eukaryota; Metazoa; Chordata; Mammalia; Monotremata; Ornithorhynchidae. The record is from RefSeq and is a predicted model, not a curated record.
GCCCUCUCAGGAUUGCAACUGGAGAGUUUCCAGUCCUCUACCAGUCUCUACUACGGGAGGGAGAGUCAAGCAGAGGCCUGUCCGUUCCAUUCCGAGCUUGGCCUGUGGCUAGCGAAUGGGAGGCCAUCUGCUACGAGU